RNAcentral lists this long non-coding RNA (337 nucleotides) under Spirodela polyrhiza (greater duckweed). RNAcentral's name for it is "long non-coding RNA (SPOL_LNC001522)". The record is from RNAcentral. Lineage: Eukaryota; Viridiplantae; Streptophyta; Magnoliopsida; Alismatales; Araceae.
GGGGCCUGGGUGCCCAGGGGCAUCCGUGCUGGUCAGCCAUGGCGUCCGGUCAGGAGUCCGGAGGCACAACUUUGAUGGAUCUCAUCACCUCCGAUCCGACGCCGGUCCCCCCCAGCGCCGCUCCCGGUGUAGCCCCCUCCGCACCAGGGAAGCCGUCGGCGGCGGAUCGGAAGACGAGGAGGAGCACUCUGAUGCAGAUCCAGAGUGACACCAUAUCCGCGGCAAAGGCGCUGAACCCGGUCAAGACAAGCGUCAUGCCUCAGAGGCGCAAGAAGACGGUCCGCUCCAACCUCCCUCCCUCCCUCCUUCCCUCUCUCUCUCUCUCUCUCUCUCUCUC